UACGGAGGGUGCGAGCGUUGUCCGGAAUCACUGGGCGUAAAGGGCGCGUAGGCGGCCUGAUAAGUAGGGGGUGAAAUCCUGCGGCUUAACCGCAGGGCUGCCUUCUAAACUGUCAGGCUCGAGCACAGUAGAGGCAGGUGGAAUUCCCGGUGUAGCGGUGGAAUGCGUAGAGAUCAGGAGGAACACCAAUGGCGAAGGCAGCUCGCUGGGACGGUACUGACGCUGAGACGCGAAAGCGUGGGGAGCAAACAGG
RNAcentral lists this ribosomal RNA (253 nucleotides) under uncultured bacterium. RNAcentral's name for it is "partial 16S ribosomal RNA". It matches the Rfam family "Bacterial small subunit ribosomal RNA", at positions 524 to 776 of the family's 1533-position model. The record is from RNAcentral.